This 647-nucleotide ribosomal RNA is filed under the name uncultured bacterium. RNAcentral describes it as "bacterial SSU rRNA". It matches the Rfam family "Bacterial small subunit ribosomal RNA", at positions 54 to 745 of the family's 1533-position model. The record is from RNAcentral.
CAUGCAAGUCGUACGAGAGUCUUUGACUCAAGUGGCGGACGGGUGAGUAACACGUAAGAAUUUGCCUUUAGGAGGGGGACAACAACUGGAAACGGUUGCUAAUACCCCAUAUGCUUUCGAGUGAAAUGGAUUUUUCCGCCUAGAGAGAAGCUUGCGGCUGAUUAGCUUGUUGGUGAGGUAAUGGCUCACCAAGGCGACGAUCAGUAUCUGGUUUGAGAGGACGAUCAGACACACUGGAACUGAGACACGGUCCAGACUCCUACGGGAGGCAGCAGUGGGGAAUUUUCCGCAAUGGGCGAAAGCCUGACGGAGCAAUCUCGCGUGAGGGAUGACUGCCUAUGGGUUGUAAACCUCUUUUUUCAGGGAGGAAUAAAUGACGUGUACCUGAAGAAUAAGCAUCGGCUAACUCCGCGCCAGCAGCCGCGGUAAUACGGAGGAUGCAAGUGUUAUCCGGAAUCACUGGGCGUAAAGCGUCUGUAGGUGGUUUAAUAAGUCAACUGUUAAAUCUUGAGGCUCAACUUCAAAAUCGCAGUCGAAACUAUUAGACUAGAGUAUAGUAGGGGUAAAGGGAAUUUCCACUCUGCGUAAAUGCGUAGAGAUUGGAAAGAACACCGAUGGCGAAGGCACUUUACUGGGCUAUUACUACA